UUCUGGUUGAUCCCGCCAGAGGCCACUGCUAUCGGAGUUCGAUUAAGCCAUGCGAGUCGAGAGGUGCAAGACCUCGGCAUACUGCUCAGUAACACGUGGACAAUCUAACCUAAGGUGGGGGAUAACCCCGGGAAACUGGGGAUAAUACCCCAUAGGCUAUAGAUGCUGGAAUGCGCUGUAGCCGAAAGGUCCGCCGCCUUAGGAUGGGUCUGCGGCCGAUUAGGUUGUUGUUGGGGUAACGGCCCAACAAGCCUGUAAUCGGUACGGGUUGUGGGAGCAAGAGCCCGGAGAUGGAUUCUGAGACACGAAUCCAGGCCCUACGGGGCGCAGCAGGCGCGAAAACUUUACAAUGCGGGAAACCGUGAUAGGGGAACUCCGAGUGCCCGUUAAAUCGGGCUGUCCACCAGUUUAAAUAACUGGUGAAGAAGGGGCCGGGCAAGACCGGUGCCAGCCGCCGCGGUAAUACCGGCGGCUCGAGUGGUGGCCGCUAUUACUGGGCUUAAAGCGUUCGUAGCUGGUUUGUUAAGUCUCUGGGGAAAUCUUCCGGCUUAACCGGAAGGCGUCCCAGGGAUACUGGCAGACUAGGGACCGGGAGAGGUGAAGGGUACUCCAGGGGUAGGAGUGAAAUCCUGUAAUCCUUGGGGGACCACCUGUGGCGAAGGCGCCUCACCAGAACGGCUCCGACAGUGAGGGACGGAAGCUGGGGGAGCAAACCGGAUUAGAUACCCGGGUAGUCCCAGCCGUAAACUAUGCGCGUUAGGUGUAUCGGUGACCACGAGUCACCGAGAUGCCGAAGAGAAAUCGUGAAACGUGCCGCCUGGGAAGUACGGUCGCAAGGCUGAAACUUAAAGGAAUUGGCGGG
Molecule: ribosomal RNA, 862 nt
Filed under: uncultured Methanosphaerula sp.
Lineage: Archaea; Methanobacteriati; Methanobacteriota; Methanomicrobia; Methanomicrobiales; Methanoregulaceae
Description: bacterial SSU rRNA
Rfam family: Archaeal small subunit ribosomal RNA
Source: RNAcentral